UUGCUGCGGGUGUCAGGAAGACA
RNAcentral lists this microRNA (23 nucleotides) under Ovis aries (sheep). Its description in RNAcentral is "miRNA 34-f". The record is from RNAcentral. Lineage: Eukaryota; Metazoa; Chordata; Mammalia; Artiodactyla; Bovidae.